GGUGUGGACCUGUACGACUGCGUCCUUCCCUAUCGGGUGAGAGAGCUGUGUCUCAGCAACGAGACAGACACCGGAGAGAAAGCAGUUAAGGCCCAGACGCUCCCCAAGGAGCCAUCUGCGGGCCGGUGAGGCGGGAAGACGCCUGUCUGGGGGGCGAUGGCGGUGAUGAGACAGGGCUUGGCUCUAGCCGCUCUGAGCCUCCCUGCGAGGCCUGGGGACAGCACCACGAUAUUGAAGACGAGGCCCACCAAGCCUGCUGAGAUGGCUCCCAGGUAGGACCUAAUCCCAGGGCAGGAAAAGCCCCUAACCAUGACCGUGAAGAUGACUAUCACCAAUGAUCAUGGCUAUGGAGAACAUCUUCUUCACCUGGAUGCCACUGAUGCCAGGGCAGGGGCAGCCCCAGGAAUGGCCAUGAACAUGAAUGUGUUGCAGAAUCUGUUGGGCCCUGUGACCUGCAGGACGAGCGGACCGGUCAAAAGAACCUAGACGGGUAGAGGGAAAUGUCCCCCUCCUCAACAGGAGCAAAGCCGGCUGAGGGAAUGGACAGGAGAUGGACUGGUGUGAGCUCCUGGCCUAUGGCAGUUCAGCAAGAGAGGAAGAAAUCCAAGUUCUCCUGCACACAAUAUUUGACUUAAUUCUUAUGAUAGUACACCCAUUGCACAGAUGAGGAGACUGUGGGUGAGAGAGGCCAAGAGCCCUGCCUAGUAAGUGGCAGAGUCUAAUGGACCCGAGGUUCCUGAAUGAGAGAAUUUCUUCUUCAGGCAGGUAACUCCCACGUCCCUCUGAUCACACAGUUGUGGUGGUGGUGACCUAGUCAAAAGGAUCUUUGGGAAAAUGAGGUUCUUUCCCAGGACUGGGAUCUGAUCAGAAACCUUUGGAGCUGACUGCUGGCUUCUUUCAGGCUGUCUGGGCCCCUGCUCUUGUACAACAUCAGGAUGUGAGCCGUAUUGAUGGUGGAGCUUCAAAACCCAGGAUGGGCAGCCCCACCCAUGGGGCACCUGAUACGGAAUGACUCAGGGCACGGAGGUGGAGCAGGGACCUGAAGGAAUGGAUGCUCUCCUGGGAGCGUCCCGGGACCUUCCAUCCAGAGGUGAAGAGUCAAAUGAGAGAAAGUCUUUCGAAGACCUGCUGUAGAGCACAUGGAACUCUGCUCAAAGUUGGGUGCCAUCCUGGAGGGCAGGAGGGUUUGGGGGAGAAUGGAUACAUGUAUUUGUAUGGCUGGGUCCCUUCUCUGUUUACCGGAAACUACCACAACAUUGUCU
This is a long non-coding RNA of Dama dama (fallow deer), 1262 nucleotides long. RefSeq lists it as uncharacterized. The transcript is spliced from 4 exons. NCBI's taxonomy places the organism in Eukaryota, Metazoa, Chordata, Mammalia, Artiodactyla, Cervidae. The record is from RefSeq and is a predicted model, not a curated record.